This 253-nucleotide ribosomal RNA is filed under the name uncultured bacterium. RNAcentral describes it as "partial 16S ribosomal RNA". It matches the Rfam family "Bacterial small subunit ribosomal RNA", at positions 524 to 776 of the family's 1533-position model. The record is from RNAcentral.
UACGGAGGGUGCAAGCGUUAUCCGGAAUCAUUGGGUUUAAAGGGUCCGCAGACGGGAAGAUAAGUCAGUGGUGAAAUCUCACAGCUCAACUGUGAAACUGCCAUUGAUACUGUCUUUCUUGAAUUCGAUCGAAGUGGGCGGAAUGUGACAUGUAGCGGUGAAAUGCUUAGAUAUGUCACAGAACACCGAUAGCGAAGGCAGCUCACUAGGUCUGGAUUGACGCUCAGGGACGAAAGCGUGGGGAGCAAACAGG